RNAcentral lists this non-coding RNA (272 nucleotides) under Eubacterium sp. Its description in RNAcentral is "T-box sequence". It matches the Rfam family "T-box leader". Rfam says of the family: Uncharged tRNA acts as the effector for transcription antitermination of genes in the T-box leader family. T-boxes are found upstream of many aminoacyl-tRNA synthetase genes and some amino acid biosynthetic genes usually in Gram-positive bacteria. The record is from RNAcentral. Lineage: Bacteria; Bacillati; Bacillota; Clostridia; Eubacteriales; Eubacteriaceae.
UUAAAUGCAGUGAACAGAACAGUUUAUCCAAGAUGUUUGCAUUGCAGAGAGUCAUCGGUUGGUGUGAGAUGAUAUGUGAUUUUGGAUAACAUCAUCUGCGAGCAGUGCACUGAAAUUAGUCAAUAUUGAUUAAGAUUAAGUGUCACCGGUAUUCUACCGUUAUAUAGAAGCUUAUUAAACGGACGAUUUAAAGUCUCCGUCAGAUGAGGCAGAGUGGUCACGUAAGUGGCAAUCAAAGUGGUAUCGCGGAAGUUUUAGCUUUCGUCUUUGAG